GAGCAGGUGAUCCUGGAGCUGCAGCCUGACUGGGUAGCCAUGGAUGAAGCCUUUAUGGUGAAGUGCCUUGUGCCCCAUGUGGCACCCCUGAAGCACCUCACCCUUACCCUUUUCCAGGGUAACCAAGAACUGUACAGAAAGAACUUUGUGAGCUUGGCUUUGGCCCCUCAGAGAGCUGAGGUCACUCACCAUCAGUGUCACAGCCCAGAGGGAGAAUGACAGGUGCAAUUUCUCCUGUAGUGCAGAACUGGAUUUGAAUGCACAAGGUUGGGGGCUCUUUCACGGCAGCUCAGCCAUCAAGGUACUCUGGAUCUUUGGUGAGUCAAGAGUCCAGGCACGGAAGGCACCUUGGGGCUCAUUUUGUUCAUUUUGCCAUGGCCUUUGGGUCUAAGUUCCCACAGGCUGGGGUUGCGAGGCUAAUGGAGCACCAGCUGUACUUUUAGCUCAUCUUGGGAGAGAAAAAUCAUUUCCCACCUCUCCCUCCCCACAUGUCACAUGAUUGAUCGUGGCUUUUUUCUUUCUUUUUAUUUUCAUUUUCCUAAUUUCUUGGCAGAAUUCCUCAUCUGGGUCUCUUCAGUUCUGGAAGUUGGGACGGCAGAACCUGUGAGCUGCGAGGUGGCUAGGGUGUUCCCAGCCAAAGAUGUUGUAUUCUGUAUGCUUCUGGGAGGCCAGGCGCUGAGCCUCUUCCUCUCCUGGAAGGGAGGGACAGUGUGGGCCAAUGCCACUGUUCGGACCAUGGAGACUGGUGUCCAGGAGCUGUCGUGUUUUUGUAUCUCUGGGUCCAGUGGAACAGGAAACAAGGCAGCCAGUGCUUGUCUAUAGUUUCCCUCCACCAGUCCUAGAGAUAGAAGAACCAUAGCCCGCGGCAGGGACAGAUGUUAAUGUAACCUGCUCAGGGCAUAUAUUAACAUCACCCAGGCCUACUCUUAGGCUUCAAGGAUUCCCACAUCUCCCUGCCCUUGGGGAAGCUGCCUGGCUUCUAUUUACUGCCAAGGAGGAGGAUGAUAGCCGAAAUUUCUCCUGUGAGGCUGCUUUGGAGGUGCAGGGCCAGCAACUGAUUAAAACUACUGUGAUUCAGCUCCAUGUUUUAUGUGAGUAGAAGCCUGAUCUUUUUUUUUUUUUUGUCUUUUUCAUUUUUAUCGGUACCGGGGAUCGACCUCAUGACCGCCUGCUUGCAAGGCAGGUGCUUAUGCCGCUGAGCUAAAUCUCGAGCCCCUAGAAGCCUAAUCUUUUUUGUCAAAAAGGAUUAUCUUUCUAUUUCCGAGAUCUUAGCCAGUAGAGUUGCCACAUUUCCCCCCCCAACAAUAACAAUAAAAUCAAAAGGGAAAAUCAAAUGAAAACUAUCCAAGCUUACCUUGCAGCCAGGAAGUGAGUGCAUAGAGAGAUGAGGGGCAAUUGAGGCUAGAAAGGAAAGUGUUCAAGCAGCCAGACACAUCGGGUGAGAGUGGGUGGUUGUGGAGAACAUUAAAAGUGAUAGUGGAGCUGAUACGAAGGAGGGAAAUCUCCAAAACUUCCCUAUCAAAAUUUGUAUUAUGAAAAGGGAGAAAAGUCUCCAUUUCUGAGUUUGCCCCUUCCCAGCACCUUACCUGCUGAGAAGCUAAGAUAGGAAGCAGGGCUCCAGGUCCCUUUUGACAGCAGCAUGUUACCAUUUAGUGCGAAUGCAUAAAAAUACCCCGGGUUUAGCUGGACGAGGUGGCCUGUAAUCCCAGCACUUGGGAGGCUGAGGCAAGAGGAUCGUUGCAAGUUCAAGACCAGCCUGGGCUACAAAGUGAGCUCAAGGCCAGCCUGAACUGCAUAGAGAGACCCUGUCUCAAAAAAGACAAAAAACAAAACAAAACAAAACAAAACAAACAAAACCACCCCAGGUUUAAUCUCAGACUCCUUGGCCAAGUAGAAGAAAGGGAAGCUGGUGUAAGCAGGAAACUGAUAGUCUUUCCCUUGAAAAGAAAUUUGUUAAGGAAGUAGCAUUUGCUUGGGGAAGGAAAGGGAGCCAAGCAUGAAGGUUAGGAGGGAGCAGGACAUACAACAUGCUGGCUUCUUUGGGGAGUCUUUCUUUCUUUCUUUCUUUCUUUCUUUCUUUCUUUCUUUCUUUCUUUCUUCCUUCCUUCCUUCCUUCCUUCCUUCCUUUUUUUUCCAGACAAGCCAAGAUUGGAAGAAUCUGGUUGCCCUAGCAACCAGACAUGGGUAGAAGGGAAGGAGCAGAUGCUCAUUUGUGUCCCAGAGGGAAACCCAGCUCCAGCUUUAGUGUACACCUGGAAUGGGAUUAUCGUUGACCUUGACGUGCCUCAUAAGGCAGCCCAGAACCACAUUGGAAUCUACUGCUGCACAGCCACUAACCAGCUGGGCUCUGUCGGCAAAGACAUUGCUCUUACUGUUCAAGGUGACUGCUGCUGCCCUGCUGCAAGGCUUGGGAUAGAAAUCCACCAGGGGGUUGAUAAAAUCAUGGAAAGGGAGAUUUUACUGGGCUGGGGAAGGUGAGACUGAGAACUGGGAUUGGUGGGCUGAGGGGGGAUGAUUCUCUUGUCUUCGGUGCUGCCACCCCCGAUUUCUGUGUCUUCUGUGUUUUGGCCAGGAUGCAAUAAAGGAAGCAGUUACACCGUCUUCUUCAUUGUUGUUGUCCUCCUUGUGGUGGGCAUAAACACAACAGCACUGUAUUUUAACCUUGGACCCUGCAAAAUAAAGAAGAGGAAAUUGCCUUAUCAGCAGAAAGAGCAGAACAAAGUGGAGGAAAACCAGUUUGGUGUUCAACAAGCAGAAUUGUGAAACUCACAUAAUUUUUGUCUAGAAACAGGUCUUUGGGUGAAUGAGAUUUCUACUAUUGGAGCUUCUCAAGAAGGGAAGAGUAGGGGCUGGGGAUUUAGCUCAGUAGCAUAAGUGCCUGCCUAGCAAGCCUGAGUUCGAUCCCCAGUACCAAAAAAAAAAAAAAAAAAAAAAAAAAGAAGGAAGAGUAGACCAAGGAGAAAGGAAGAAACUUUGUGAGGUUUUAUUGCCCUCAUUGUUCUCCUGUUCAGGUUCCCAUGUCCUGUGUGUCCCAUCCACUGUGUGUCCCAUCUAUGUAUAUAUUUUUCUGAAUUUAAUCAGUAAGAAUUUUGGUUCCGUGUUCAAC
Long non-coding RNA from Cavia porcellus (domestic guinea pig), 3106 nucleotides. NCBI's taxonomy places the organism in Eukaryota, Metazoa, Chordata, Mammalia, Rodentia, Caviidae. The record is from Ensembl.